Molecule: long non-coding RNA, 673 nt
Filed under: Homo sapiens (human)
Lineage: Eukaryota; Metazoa; Chordata; Mammalia; Primates; Hominidae
Description: HSALNT0393426
Source: RNAcentral
AGAUGCAGCCCAGAGAGAUGAGCAUGUAACACACAGCAAGAAUGCAGCCACCAGGCAAGCCAAGGAGAGAGCCUUCAGAAGAAACCAACCCUGCCGACACCUUGACCUCAGACUUCCAGCCUCUAAAACGAUUGAAGACAAUGCUGAUCAUACUAUCAACCAUGAAGGACUGUGCUGAGGAUUGAAUGAGAAUACAUUCAGGCCACGGAACACACUACUUGUGCAAGAAGCUACAAUGAGAAAAAAAAUAGCAAGAAAUAGAUGAGGGAAGGAGGUUCUGUAGAGGGAAAAACAAAGAGAGAAAAGGAGAAUGAAUUGUGCUGAGAAAGAGAUGCCUGGAUGAAGAAGCUGGCCCUAGCACCCAUAAAGCUGGAAAGAAAGUGGGGCCUUGGAAACUUCUGGAAGGAUGCGAGGAAAGAAAAAUGCAAGGAAAUGAGAUGGAGAGGAGAAAGAGAAACCAGGAAGCACUUCGGAAGCAUGUAAAUUACAAGGAAAUGAGGAACAGCCUUUAUUGAAACAGUCUGUGAAGUCUGUGCUAGCGCUGAGAGCUUCAUUUUACUGUCCUGGCAAGGAGGUAGGUGCUCAAAGAACUUUGUCUUGGAAGCCCACUGUGGCUCCCCCGGGCCUGGCACUUUAAGCCCCGUACUUUUGCUCUCACUGUUCCUCUCUGCCU